GCGCGAGGCCCGCCGCCCUGCUUCUGACGUCACGCUUCUUGCAACAGGCAGCUGGGAAGAUCCCAGGCGAAAGGCGAUGGAUUGCUCGAGGGCAAAGGAAAGGAGCCUUACUCUGAAGAGUCUUCAAAAAUCUGAUUCUCCUGCUAUUUAUUCUGCUUUAAAAAUUCAAGGACAGAAUUCCAUGCUAGCUGUUAACCAGUCCCAUGUACUUUUCACAACCAGCAUGUAAGCCACUGGACAAAAAAUGGAAAACACUUCCAAGGAGAAAAAUCCAGGACAGAUACAACUACACGGAAAAGUGGGAGGAAUACCCCAAAAGAUUAAUUCC
Molecule: long non-coding RNA, 328 nt
Filed under: Laticauda laticaudata (blue-ringed sea krait)
Lineage: Eukaryota; Metazoa; Chordata; Lepidosauria; Squamata; Elapidae
Description: lncRNA (ENSLLTG00000015540.1)
Source: RNAcentral